AUCAUAUUUUAUUUUAUAGCAUGGAAAAAUGUAUUGGAAUUUUAUUUAAAAAAAUCCAAAAUGAUGAAUUCCCUCUAAUAGAAAUUAAGAUUGCCUACAGAAUUCCCUGUGCUGCCUUUGCAGGUUCCACUAGUCCAUCAUGGUCAGUGCUUUCCAUACUUUCCCACAAGUCCCAAAAUAUGUUUACAAGAUAAUGUGAUGACGACAAAUCCUGAGCCUGAGCAGCCUGAGCAAUAUGGCCUGGCCACGUGGGAGAAUUGGAAAUACGUGCAGAUGGGAGAGAGGCGCUGCGAGAGACGAGACGAGACGAGACCAGACCCCCGUCACCCAUACGAUUCCCAUUCCGAUGGUCGUCGUCGUAGCGUCACGUCGAUUCGACCGACCGGCCAUGCAAACAAGGCGAGAGAGAUCUCUGAGAGAGUGAGAGAGAGAGAUAGACUGACAGAGAGAGGGGGGGUAGCAACGGCAACGCGCUCUCUGAUACGUCGACAACAGACAACAUCAACAUCGCUGGGCAUCGGCUGGCUAUAUAUACAUAUGCUCACUUUCGAUGUAUUUCAUUUUUUCUUUCGUUUUCAUUCGCUGUGCGAUUUGAAAAACGUUUAAACAAAAACUCGACAACCAGCAACAACAUCCACACGGCGGGCGGGUCUUCUGCACACACACACACACAUCCACACUCAUACACACUGCGACAGAGA
This is a long non-coding RNA of Drosophila miranda, 701 nucleotides long. RefSeq lists it as uncharacterized. Lineage: Eukaryota; Metazoa; Arthropoda; Insecta; Diptera; Drosophilidae. The transcript has 3 exons. The record is from RefSeq and is a predicted model, not a curated record.